Molecule: long non-coding RNA, 216 nt
Filed under: Elaeis guineensis (African oil palm)
Lineage: Eukaryota; Viridiplantae; Streptophyta; Magnoliopsida; Arecales; Arecaceae
Description: long non-coding RNA (EGUI_LNC065289)
Source: RNAcentral
GCCCACCGGGUCUUGUAACGUACACCUUGUUAGUUGAAAAAUGAAAAGGAGAUUUUGUUACCUUGUCUGCAUCUUACAUCGAAUAGUUGUCUGUCGAACUUCUUUAUUCUUCUUUCUUCUCUCUUCCUCCUUUUCUUCUUUUCUUUUUCACGUCGUCCUAAGGUCAUCGAUGACCUCUUUUAUUCGUGUUGGAUUGUUAUUUGCCGAGCUCCUUUU